UUGGGGAUUACCUGGGUGUGUCUCAGGUGUUUAAAAAACACCUGAGACACACCCAGGUAAUCCCUAAAC
Molecule: non-coding RNA, 69 nt
Organism: Pelobates cultripes (western spadefoot toad)
Lineage: Eukaryota; Metazoa; Chordata; Amphibia; Anura; Pelobatidae
Source: the annotation of a GenBank genome assembly